This 252-nucleotide ribosomal RNA is filed under the name uncultured prokaryote. RNAcentral describes it as "partial 16S ribosomal RNA". It matches the Rfam family "Bacterial small subunit ribosomal RNA", at positions 525 to 775 of the family's 1533-position model. The record is from RNAcentral.
ACGUAGGGGGCGAGCGUUGUCCGGAUUUACUGGGCGUAAAGAGCGCGUAGGCGGCCUGUUAAGUCAGGAGUGAAAUCUCCAGGGCUCAACCCGGAAACUGCUCUUGAUACUAACAGGCUGGAGUGGCGAAGAGGUGAUUGGAAUUCCCGGUGUAGCGGUGACAUGCAUUGAUAUCGGGAGGAACACCAACGGCGAAGGCAGGUCACUAGUCGCCAACUGACGCUGAGGCGCGAAAGCGUGGGUAGCAAACAG